Molecule: small RNA, 125 nt
Filed under: Marmota monax (woodchuck)
Lineage: Eukaryota; Metazoa; Chordata; Mammalia; Rodentia; Sciuridae
Source: RNAcentral
GCCAGGCACAGUGGCGCAUGCCUGUAAUCCCAGCGGCUUGGGAGGCUGAGACAGAAGAAUCAUGGGUUCAAAGCCAGCCUCAGCAAUAGCAAGGUACUAAACAACUCAGUGAGACUCUGUCUCUA